This 492-nucleotide ribosomal RNA is filed under the name uncultured bacterium. RNAcentral's name for it is "partial 16S ribosomal RNA". It matches the Rfam family "Bacterial small subunit ribosomal RNA", at positions 29 to 507 of the family's 1533-position model. The record is from RNAcentral.
AGUGAACGCUGGCGGUAGGCCUAACACAUGCAAGUCGAACGGCAGCACAGUAAGAGCUUGCUCUUACGGGUGGCGAGUGGCGGACGGGUGAGGAAUACAUCGGAAUCUACUUUUUCGUGGGGGAUAACGUAGGGAAACUUACGCUAAUACCGCAUACGACCUACGGAUGAAAGUAGGGGAUCUUCGGACCUUGCGCGAUUGAAUGAGCCGAUGUCGGAUUAGCUAGUUGGCGGGGUAAAGGCCCACCAAGGCGACGAUCCGUAGCUGGUCUGAGAGGAUGAUCAGCCACACUGGAACUGAGACACGGUCCAGACUCCUACGGGAGGCAGCAGUGGGGAAUAUUGGACAAUGGGCGCAAGCCUGAUCCAGCCAUACCGCGUGGGUGAAGAAGGCCUUCGGGUUGUAAAGCCCUUUUGUUGGGAAAGAAAAGCAGCAGGUUAAUACCCCGCUGUUCUGACGGUACCCAAAGAAUAAGCACCGGCUAACUUCGUG